This 253-nucleotide ribosomal RNA is filed under the name uncultured bacterium. Its description in RNAcentral is "partial 16S ribosomal RNA". It matches the Rfam family "Bacterial small subunit ribosomal RNA", at positions 524 to 776 of the family's 1533-position model. The record is from RNAcentral.
UACAGAGGGGGCCAGCGUUAUUCGGAAUUAUUGGGCGUAAAGGGCGCGUAGGCGGCCUGUUAAGUCGAACGUGAAAUCCCCGGGCUCAACCCGGGAGCUGCGUCCGAUACUGGCAGGCUUGAAUCCGGGAGAGGGAUGCGGAAUUCCAGGUGUAGCGGUGAAAUGCGUAGAUAUCUGGAGGAACACCGGUGGCGAAGGCGGCAUCCUGGACCGGCAUUGACGCUGAGGCGCGAAAGCCAGGGGAGCAAACGGG